CUGGCACCAAGACUGGCGGAGCCACCACACCCGUUAAAGGGAUCCACCUGGACAGCGAUCAGGCCACCUCCAAGGAUCAUGUAGGACCAGCAGAAGCAGUGUAAAGUAUUGGAACUUUGAAUCUGACAUCAGAAAGACCUGCACUCAGCCAGGCACGGAGGCUCACGAUUGUAAUCCCAGGCCGAGGCGGUGGAUCACUAGAGAUUCACUGAUUCUAGGUAAAUCAGAGGAACAAGCAACAUGAACAGAAAAAAUGUAGAAAAUGCAAUUAUGCUGAAGUAUAAUUGUUGUUUCAGAACUCCAGCAUCUGCUGUACUUAACAAUAGAGAAUAUAUUAAAUUUUUCCAAAAUAAAAAAACAA
RNAcentral lists this non-coding RNA (361 nucleotides) under Pongo abelii (Sumatran orangutan). Lineage: Eukaryota; Metazoa; Chordata; Mammalia; Primates; Hominidae. The record is from RNAcentral.